Molecule: non-coding RNA, 65 nt
Organism: Echinops telfairi (small Madagascar hedgehog)
Lineage: Eukaryota; Metazoa; Chordata; Mammalia; Afrosoricida; Tenrecidae
Source: Rfam
CAUGGAGAGGCUGACUUGGCCGGUGUGCUACAGAGAAGCCAGCUUGUUGACAUGCUCCUCCAUUG